Molecule: ribosomal RNA, 766 nt
Filed under: Staphylococcus aureus
Lineage: Bacteria; Bacillati; Bacillota; Bacilli; Caryophanales; Staphylococcaceae
Description: bacterial SSU rRNA
Rfam family: Bacterial small subunit ribosomal RNA
Source: RNAcentral
GAUGAACGCUGGCGGCGUGCCUAAUACAUGCAAGUCGAGCGAACGGACGAGAAGCUUGCUUCUCUGAUGUUAGCGGCGGACGGGUGAGUAACACGUGGAUAACCUACCUAUAAGACUGGGAUAACUUCGGGAAACCGGAGCUAAUACCGGAUAAUAUUUUGAACCGCAUGAUUCAAAAGUGAAAGACGGUCUUGCUGUCACUUAUAGAUGGAUCCGCGCUGCAUUAGCUGGUUGGUAAGGUAACGGCUUACCAAGGCAACGAUGCAUAGCCGACCUGAGAGGGUGAUCGGCCACACUGGAACUGAGACACGGUCCAGACUCCUACGGGAGGCAGCAGUAGGGAAUCUUCCGCAAUGGGCGAAAGCCUGACGGAGCAACGCCGCGUGAGUGAUGAAGGUCUUCGGAUCGUAAAACUCUGUUAUUAGGGAAGAACAUAUGUGUAAGUAACUGUGCACAUCUUGACGGUACCUAAUCAGAAAGCCACGGCUAACUACGUGCCAGCAGCCGCGGUAAUACGUAGGUGGCAAGCGUUAUCCGGAAUUAUUGGGCGUAAAGCGCGCGUAGGCGGUUUUUUAAGUCUGAUGUGAAAGCCCACGGCUCAACCGUGGAGGGUCAUUGGAAACUGGAAAACUUGAGUGCAGAAGAGGAAAGUGGAAUUCCAUGUGUAGCGGUGAAAUGCGCAGAGAUAUGGAGGAACACCAGUGGCGAAGGCGACUUUCUGGUCUGUAACUGACGCUGAUGUGCGAAAGCGUGGGGAUCAAACAGG